Molecule: ribosomal RNA, 410 nt
Filed under: Segatella buccae
Lineage: Bacteria; Pseudomonadati; Bacteroidota; Bacteroidia; Bacteroidales; Prevotellaceae
Description: bacterial SSU rRNA
Rfam family: Bacterial small subunit ribosomal RNA
Source: RNAcentral
GAUGAACGCUGGCUACAGGCUUAACACAUGCAAGUCGAGGGGCAGCAUGCCGGUUGCUUGCAACCGGUGAUGGCGACCGGCGCACGGGUGAGUAACGCGUAUCCAACCUUCCCGCGACCAAGGGAUAACCUGCCGAAAGGCAGACUAAUACCUUAUGUCCUCCUUUGAAGGCAUCUGACGAGGAGCAAAGAUCCGUCGGUCACGGAUGGGGAUGCGUCCGAUUAGCUUGUUGGCGGGGCAACGGCCCACCAAGGCUUCGAUCGGUAGGGGUUCUGAGAGGAAGGCCCCCCACACUGGAACUGAGACACGGUCCAGACUCCUACGGGAGGCAGCAGUGAGGAAUAUUGGUCAAUGGGGCGGAAAGCCCUGAAACCAGCCAAAGUAGCGUGCAGGAAUGACGGGCCCCUUAC